UUGCGUCUCAUUUAUCACGCAAACCAAACUCAAAAUUGCGUCAAUAUAAGGACGCAUUCUCUUUUAUGUCACACAUGCGCAGUGGCCACUCUGCUGUCUGGAGCCCCCCUGACAUCUUUGUAGCCUAAUUUACUGAAAAAUAAGCCGUUAUUCAUGUUGCUCCACAUAACCGCGUAUUGCAACUUCAUAAUUAAAUCCCCACAACAAAAUACUGAGCUUAUGGGCUAUUUUAGUCACAUUUUAGUUCCUAGACAAAAGUCUGUUUUGCUAGGAUAUUAAUAAAAUAACAGAAACUGUUUUAUCCUAUACGAGAGCAUUUGUAGUAUUUGUCCAGAAGACUUUUGUGGCUGAAAACCAUUCAACCAGUAAGGUUUUUGAAAUAUUCAUUGUAAAUAACCCUGAUGUACCCCCACUGUUUAUGAUGAUGUCAUUUCAUCGCGACCUCCAUGCAUUGGAUUGUGGAUUUGAUUGUACUGCCUGCAGUCUGAUGUGGUUUGGCUGAGCUUUAUUCAUCAAUUGUUUUACGUCUCCAGUUUUCCCUGAGGUCCAAAAUAUUCAGUGGAGUGAAACUGUUGAUGGCAGCAAAAUGUAACAAGCUUGUCCUGGAGGACUGCUCUGAUGGGGAAUGCUGUGGAGGAGAGACAGGCAGACUGUGGUCCAUCGUGUGUGCUCCCAGUGCGUUAAUACACGGACAGUCCUUUUUAAGUGCAACCAGAGGAAUAAUGUGAUUGAGAGGAAGAGUGGCCCCAUACAUUGCUUGACCUGGAGCCUACCAAAGUCUAAGGUCUCAGGUGUCUCCAGAAGAACACAUCCCAAUGAAGACCCCAGUCAUAGUCAUCAACUUGACAGCUCAGCC
Molecule: long non-coding RNA, 856 nt
Organism: Engraulis encrasicolus (European anchovy)
Lineage: Eukaryota; Metazoa; Chordata; Actinopteri; Clupeiformes; Engraulidae
Exons: 5
Source: RefSeq, a predicted model, not a curated record